Molecule: small RNA, 28 nt
Filed under: Arabidopsis thaliana (thale cress)
Lineage: Eukaryota; Viridiplantae; Streptophyta; Magnoliopsida; Brassicales; Brassicaceae
Description: ATSL079000
Source: RNAcentral
UCUUUUCUUUUCUUUUUUUGGAUUUUUG